AGAGAUGACACUGGAUCAGCAAAAUCAGUAAAGGAUCAUUGUGCAUUCGUCGUCUCCUCUCUUUGGCAUGCUCUCUUAGAGCCACCUACUUUAAAUACAUUGCUUACCUUGAAGGAUUUGAAGAGAAGAAAAAAGGCAGAAAGGCCCAGCAACUUCCAUCAAUGGUAUAUUUCAGCUUUGGAAGUAACCCAAGACUGACUCAGUCCCCACCCACUUUACCUCCAGCCAUCAUCUCAACAGGGCAGGCCCAGCAUGGAGUGCCCUGGGAACCACAGCCUAUGUCAGACAUAACUUCAGCCAGCUAACCUAAAGCACCAGGAACACACAAUCUACACAAGAUAUGACCAUAUACAAGACCACUCCUGCAAAUUUAUGUAAAGUAGCUAUUCUGCUAUUUCUACAAACACAGAAAGUCAAGGAAAUGAAGAGAAAGAGAAAUAUGUUACCAAUGAAAGAACAAGACAAAAACCUCAGAAAAAGAACUAUAUGAAACAGAUAAACCAAUUUAGCUAACAAAGAAUUCAAAGUAAUGAUUAUACAGAUGCUCACACUGAAGAGUAGAAGAACUCAGAAUUUCAACACAGGUAAAAAAUAUAAGAACCAAUCAGACUUGGUUCCUGUCCAAGAUGGCAGAGGAGUAGGAGACCUUAAUUUUCUCUGGUUCCAGGAAUUCAGCUAGAUAGCUAUCAAAUAAUUCUGAACACCUGCAAACUCAACUGAAGCUCUAAGAAAAGAAUUGCUGCAAUUCUACAAAUAGAAAAGCGGCCACUUUCUGCAAAGUAGAAGGUGUGGAGAAGCAAAUCCAAGGCAAUACAUGGGAAGAUAAACUGCUGGAGGAAGGAGCCUCUGCAGCAGCUACUGGAAAGUGAUAUAUCAGUAGAGCACAAAAUUGGAACUUUUAGAAGUCGUCUCCGGUGAGGGAAAGGUGCUCUGGUGGCAAAAUGGGACAGAAUCCUAGGUGGGACAGUGUGGUCUCAGGAUCCCCAAGGUCACCGAAAGAACAGGGGUACCUAAGUGCAUCAGAGCAGGAAAUCCGACUGCAUCAGCAAGCCCAGGAGUGGGCUCUUGGCUAGGUCUUGCCACAAACCACAAACUGUGGCACAGUUGUCCUGCUCUCCAGGACAGGGCCCAGCAAACAGCAGAAUCUCAGUGAGAGCCCCCCUCCAAGGGGAGUGGUGCAGGUGCAUGGUGCAGGACCCUACAGGGUUUGGAGACUCAUAAUUGAGGUCAAGUGCCUGAAACAGAAAUGAUCAGUCAUAGGCCAGCUGAGCACAAAGUGUGGACAGAGACAGGAGUGACUGAUUUUCCCUGAGGAGCAUAGAGAGUGCCUGAACUCCAGAGCUGGAGACUGGGAGGCUACUAUCUUCACCCUCAUCCUCUAAAGCAGGUAGAAAGCCUUUAGGGAGCAAAAGCCACAUAGAACAAUCCAGAACAGAUUACUUAGCCUGGCCCCCUGGCAAAGGCAGUGCAGAUCCACCUGGGGAGAGGACAGAUACCUGAGAAUCAGCGUAACAGGCCCCUUCCCCAGAAGAUCAGCAAGAACAUUCAGCUAAGACCAAGUUUACAGAUCACACAGAAGUGGAAAACCCCAGUGCUAGGCAAAUAUAUAGAGAAUUUGUGUUUUUUUUCUCAUAAUUCCUUAGUCUUCCAAUUUAAAAACUUUUUUCUUUUUCCUUUGCAACCAAUUUCGAUCAAC
Long non-coding RNA from Canis lupus familiaris (dog), 1696 nucleotides. RefSeq lists it as uncharacterized. NCBI's taxonomy places the organism in Eukaryota, Metazoa, Chordata, Mammalia, Carnivora, Canidae. The transcript has 3 exons. The record is from RefSeq and is a predicted model, not a curated record.